CCUACGGGUGGCAGCAGUGAGGAAUAUUGGUCAAUGGGCGCGAGCCUGAACCAGCCAAGUAGCGUGAAGGAUGACUGCCCUACGGGUUGUAAACUUCUUUUAUAAAGGAAUAAAGUGAGGCACGUGUGCCUUUUUGUAUGUACUUUAUGAAUAAGGAUCGGCUAACUCCGUGCCAGCAGCCGCGGUAAUACGGAGGAUCCGAGCGUUAGCCGGAUUUAUUGGGUUUAAAGGGAGCGUAGGUGGGUUGUUAAGUCAGUUGUGAAAGUUUGCGGCUCAACCGUAAGAUUGCAAUUGAUACUGGCAGCCUUGAGUACAGGUGAGGUAGGCGGAAUUCGUGGUGUAGCAGUGAAAUGCUUAGAUAUCACGAAGAACACCGAUGGCGAAGGCAGCCUACUAGACUGCCACUGACGCUGAGGCACGAAGGUGAGGGGAGCGAACGGGAUUAGAUGCCCGAGUAGUC
Molecule: ribosomal RNA, 460 nt
Filed under: uncultured bacterium
Lineage: Bacteria
Description: partial 16S ribosomal RNA
Rfam family: Bacterial small subunit ribosomal RNA
Source: RNAcentral